GACGAACGCUGGCGGCGUGCUUAACACAUGCAAGUCGAACGGAAAGGCCCUGCUUUUGUGGGGUGCUCGAGUGGCGAACGGGUGAGUAACACGUGAGUAACCUGCCCUUGACUUUGGGAUAACUUCAGGAAACUGGGGCUAAUACCGGAUAGGAGCUCCUGCUGCAUGGUGGGGGUUGGAAAGUUUCGGCGGUUGGGGAUGGACUCGCGGCUUAUCAGCUUGUUGGUGGGGUAGUGGCUUACCAAGGCUUUGACGGGUAGCCGGCCUGAGAGGAUGACCGGCCACAUUGGGACUAGGAUACAGCCCAGUCUCCUACGGGGGGCAGCAGUGGGGAGUAUUGUAGAAUGGGCGGAAGCCUGAUGCAGCAACGCCGCGUGCGGGAUGACGGCCUUCGGGGUGUAAACCGCUUUCGCCUGUGACGAAGCGUGAGUGACGGUAAUGGGUAAAGAAGCACCGGCUAACUACGUG
Molecule: ribosomal RNA, 468 nt
Filed under: uncultured bacterium
Lineage: Bacteria
Description: partial 16S ribosomal RNA
Rfam family: Bacterial small subunit ribosomal RNA
Source: RNAcentral